GACAUCAUAGCCAAGUGGUUACGGCGACAGAUUCGAAUGAUCCAGUAGAUAUCUGUUUCCCUUCGGGAGCGCAGGUUCGAAUCCUGCUGGUGUCG
RNAcentral lists this transfer RNA (95 nucleotides) under Trametes sanguinea. RNAcentral describes it as "tRNA-Ser". It matches the Rfam family "tRNA". From Rfam's summary of the family: Transfer RNA (tRNA) molecules are approximately 80 nucleotides in length. Their secondary structure includes four short double-helical elements and three loops (D, anti-codon, and T loops). The record is from RNAcentral. Lineage: Eukaryota; Fungi; Basidiomycota; Agaricomycetes; Polyporales; Polyporaceae.